Molecule: transfer RNA, 67 nt
Filed under: Taeromys dominator (Giant Sulawesi rat)
Lineage: Eukaryota; Metazoa; Chordata; Mammalia; Rodentia; Muridae
Description: tRNA-Tyr
Rfam family: tRNA
About the family: Transfer RNA (tRNA) molecules are approximately 80 nucleotides in length. Their secondary structure includes four short double-helical elements and three loops (D, anti-codon, and T loops).
Source: RNAcentral
GGUAAAAUGGCUGAGCUAGGCAUUAGACUGUAAAUCUAAAUACAGGGGUUGAGCCCCCUUUUUACCA